Rhinichthys klamathensis goyatoka is the source of this 203-nucleotide long non-coding RNA. RefSeq lists it as uncharacterized. NCBI's taxonomy places the organism in Eukaryota, Metazoa, Chordata, Actinopteri, Cypriniformes, Leuciscidae. The record is from RefSeq and is a predicted model, not a curated record. The transcript is spliced from 2 exons.
GACCGCACAGAACAUCACAGUGAAUUGACGUGGCAACAGGAUACAACUUUACAGUCUCCCGAACAGGCAAUACAGUCACCGUGGCAUCAUGAAACACCCAGACCACAGAGAAAAAGCCUCUAAAGCGAUGACCGAUUAAUAAGAUUAUGGUGCCUGAGAGGGCUCAACACGCUGCAACAGAAGAAAACAGAUGCAAACAAAAA